Molecule: long non-coding RNA, 366 nt
Filed under: Ananas comosus (pineapple)
Lineage: Eukaryota; Viridiplantae; Streptophyta; Magnoliopsida; Poales; Bromeliaceae
Description: long non-coding RNA (ACOM_LNC042833)
Source: RNAcentral
GCAUGCAUUCAUUACUUGUGAUUACGGGCAGAAUAGCAUAGUUUUCCUAUUAUGUCAUUUACUGCUUUGGAUAUCUAUCUAUCUAUCUAGUUGUUACUUUUGCCCACUUGGACCUAGUGGGGAGAUCGGCGGAGUCGGCGGCCGAGCCCACUGGGAACUAUGGAAGAUAGUUCUCACCCCACUUCAUUACAGGGUCGAGUGCUGGCGCGCCGGGCGAGGAUCGCGGCAAGGGCAUCGCGCCCGAGCAGUAGUUACAUUUCUAGCUUUCCUAUGCAUUAGAGUACCCUUUUGUAUCUAGAUGCUUUAUAUUUUGGAAGAGCUAAGUAUGUAUUUGGAAAUGAUCAUGUAUUCAUUUUGGGAAAACAU